GUACCCUCAAGCUUUGCUUGGUGUUGGGCGUCGCGGCCUGCCGCGCGCCUCAAAGUCCUCGGCGGAAGCCGCCCGUUCCUCUGCGUGAUGAUCCAUCGCCGCUUGGGAGUCGGGGGAGAGCGCCUGCACGCGUCGACGGAGACGUCGACUUCAA
Molecule: unclassified non-coding RNA, 154 nt
Filed under: uncultured Ascomycota
Lineage: Eukaryota; Fungi; Ascomycota
Description: sequence contains ITS2
Source: RNAcentral